RNAcentral lists this long non-coding RNA (4170 nucleotides) under Homo sapiens (human). RNAcentral describes it as "HSALNT0393100". Lineage: Eukaryota; Metazoa; Chordata; Mammalia; Primates; Hominidae. The record is from RNAcentral.
UCAGCCUUCUCAUGAGCAUCCAGUGACAGAGAUGUGGAAAAGAACCUUCUGUGGGGAGAGUAAAGUUUGAAACAGUGAGGAACAGAGGAUGAUGUUCGAGAAGCCACAGGAGGAGACACCAGUGGACACCAGCAAGGAGAGGAGCCAGGGAGAAGGAAAUGGGGAAGACAUUCCUCAAGGAGCAGCUCUGAGCUCCGCGGCUUUGGGGGCCAUGGAGUCACAAGAGCUUAAGAUGUCCCUUCAGCACCAGCUGGGCAUGGGCAAUAGUGAGAGGAGAGGGUGGCAGCUAUGACAUCAGUGUUUGUGUCUUUACCUGCACAUGGGGAGAAAAUUCCAUCUGUUUCCCAUAAGUAGGGCCAUCUUUGAACAGAAGAGGCAGUUGUGUGUUUCCACAAAUGUGGCGACAUACAUUGUAGGACACGCCAAGACUUUGCUGUAGCCCAGCCAUAGGCUCUUAGACUUUGGCGGGUUGUUCUCUUCCCCCUAUCCCUUCAUUUCUUCUGUCCACCAAAAUGUAUUGAGUUCAUCCUGGGAGCCAGACACUGGUAGGUGCUGGGGAUAUAGGCAGGAAUGUGCUUUCAUGAGAGACAAGAAAGCCUGACCUUGCUGCCACAGAAAUUUCAUUGCACUGUGAGACAGAGAUGUGCCAAUAGAAAGAUCCACAUAAGAAGCAUAAGAAGAAGCAUAAGAAGAGCAUAAGAAGCAUUAGAACGGGCAUGAAAGUCCAUCCAGGGGACACUUUUUACCCAAAUUUGAGAGGCCAGGAGAGCUUCCUGGAGAAAGUGACAUGUAAGGCAAGACCUGAAAGACAAACCCAAUUACCUGGAGAGGUGAGGAAGGAAGAGGGACAGGUGUUCCAAGAAAGGCAGAUAGCAUAUUGAGGGGAGCAGUGGGAAAGAGAAGGGGAACUCCAGGAACUGAAGUGAUCCCCACCACCAGAGCAUGGAGUGUGAGUGAAAAGUCUGCAGAGGGCUGGUGACCGGGACCUCUGAACACGGGAGGCCAGACAGUAUUCUAAGAUCAACGGGAAACCAUUGCAAAGUUUCACCCAGAGGAGUAAUGUGAUCAGAUUUGCAUCUUAGAACAGUUGUUUUGGCACUUCUGACUGGAAGGGCAAGAAUGGCCAGUGUUGUUGUUACCUGAAGGGUAAAUGUGGCCCACAAUAUGAAAUGCAGUGAAGAAGGAGACAUAUGCAUAUAUGUAAGUAAAUAUAAUCGAGGUAUAUUUAGCAGACAGAAUCAAUAGACUUGAUGAGUGAUGGACUGGAUGUGUGAGGAGUCUAGAUCACUUCCAAGUUGCUGAUUUGGGCAACUCAGUACUAAUCAAUGAAAAAGAAGAUCCACAGGGAGGAACUUGUCUAAGGGGUGAGGUGGGGCUGAACAGCUGCGUUUGAGACUGGAGAAGUGUGUGCUGGGCAUGGGAUGCACAAGUGGAAAUGCCUUUGGGUCUGCAGCUCAGACGUGGGCAUGACCAGCAUAGAGAUAGAGAGGCCCCAGGCUGCCAGGUGAGUGUGAUCCCCAGGUGAUGGUGUCAGCUGAGAAGGGAAGGAAGCCCCUGUGAGGACACUGAAGUGGCGAGGGCAGACAACAAGGAGUCCACAGGAGACAGGAAAGGAAGAACUAGAGGGAGGAGCCAAGCCAGGCAUGUGUGGUGACAUAGGAACCGAGGGAGAGGACAUCUCAAGAUUGAGGGGACGCUGCACAACAGGAGGACUGUGUGGUUUUUGGCCACAUCCACAGGAAGUCACAACAGGCAAGGAAAAGAAACUGGCAAUCAGACAUGGAGUUGAGGAGUGAAUCAGAGAGGAGAUGGGCAGGGACAGCAGGGUGAGGCCUCUUUCUGAGGAAGUUUGGCUAAAGGAUAGAUCAGCUGGGACACAUGCUGGAAGGGUGUAUGGGGUGGAGGGAGGAACGGUGGAGGGCAGGAGAGCCUUGAGCCUGAGAGAAGAGUCUCCUAGAAUAGAGAAGCCGAGGUUAAAAUUGUGGGAGAGAGUGGGGAUAACUGAGUGACAGAUAAUCAGGAGAACAAAAGGAGCUCCAGAAUCAUGACAGAGAGAUGACCUUUGCCAAGAGCACAGCCCCCUCCCCUGUGACAGAGGGGUAGGACAAAACAAUUGGUGUUCAAGUGUUGGUUUAACUAUGUCCUUUAAAACAUUUCUCCACAGACACUGCCCAAAGCAGCCCUUCACUACAGUGGCAGAUACACCUGCAAAUCUUCGCCUAAAACAGUGACCUGACCAAGCUAACUGCUGCUGCCUGGAACACUGUCCUUACUUUAGAAAUGUCGACCAGAUUGUAGGAUACCCAAACAACCUUUUCAAGCAGAAAGCAAACAGAUUAAGAAAGUAGCCAGAUGAGUUAGCGAGCCCAACAGUGACUUUUGUUUCUUUUUUUCCCUGUUCCCUUUUCUUUUCAUGAUAGGAAAGGCUGGACAGGGAUGCGUUGCAAAAGCAGUGAUCUAGCUUAUCUUGCCACCACCCAGGAUGGCCCAGGAUGUGGGUUCUCCUUGAAUGAAUGUUUGGCAGUCUGGCAGCCUGACAUGGUCUGCCUCCUUCUUUGGUCUGAGCUUGCCCACUGCUUAGAAAGGGCCAUGGGCAGUUCUGUCAGGGAGUUUUCCCAACAUUGAGAAGGUGACAUUUCUACUCCCCGUUGCAGUCUGCACCUCUGACCUGUGGUCAGCAGACAGGACAGAGGCACUCAGUAGACAGAGCUCAGAGGACAGCACUCAGUCCCGGCGGAAGGUUCAAUGUCCAGCUUUGCACCCACCCCAUGUGACCACAAGCAGGCUCCAUGACCUUGUGGGUCAGUUUCCUCACCCUGUUCAGGAGGAAUUGUACUACCAUCCUGUUAGGAAAUUUGUGAGGAUCACUGCGUUACUCAUGUAAGGUCUUUGGAAAGUGUCAUGUUAUUGUUUAUUAACUGCUUGUUGGUGGCCUGGCUGAGCCACAUCCUUUAUGAAAACCAGAACCCCUCAGCAGGUGUGGAUGUCUGUGCAGCCUGAGACCCUUGUGUGAACAGCCUUCUGGCAGCUGUUUUUUCCCCUUGCCACAAUCAGUGCCUCCCUGUCCCCAGGCGUUGCUUUCUCUGCUGGGUGCUGGGUGCUCCACUGUUUUCCUACACCUCAGUUGUCUACAGGUGUAUGUCUGUUCUGGAAUCUAACUGAGGUGGCAUCGAUAGCAGUUCUGCUGUGGCACUGCCCUUCUUCUUAGGUUGUCUUUUGAGAGCAAGAGAGGUCCCUUCACAUACCCCAAGAACUUACCUGCAUUUGCCCACAUAGUCUCCAUUUAGAAAAUGGGAAAAGUCACGUCUGCCUACCUGCCAAUGGGGUAAGAGGACAACUACCUUAUAAACUUUAAAUGACUUAUUGCAACCAUCUGAAUUAAUGUUGCUUAAACAGCAUGUAUCUUGGCUGCUUAAAAACCAGAUAAGAAUUUCCAUAACAUUAAUUUAUUUAUAACACCAUAUUGGGUGUGAACCUAUCAUAAAGUUCACCCAACUAUAAAGGUACACAAUUGAUGAUUUAUUAAAUUGACACUGUGUGUAGCCAUCACCAUGAUCUAACUUAAAAAUGUUUGUUUCUCUGGGGGAGAAGCCAAGAUGGCCGAAUAGGAACAGCUCUGGUCUACAGCUCCCAGCAUGAGCGACACAGAAGACGGGGGAUUUCUGCAUUUCCAUCUGAGGUACCAGGUUCAUCUCACUAGGGAGUGCCAGACAGUGGGCGCAGGACAGUGGGUGCAGCACACCGUGUGCGAGCCAAAGCAGGGUGAGUCAUUGCCUCACUCGGGAAGCACAAGGGGUCAGGGAGUUCCCUUUCCUGGUCAAGGAAAGGAGUGACAGACGGCACCUGGAAAAUCGGGUCACUCCCACCCAAAUACUGUGCUUUUCUGACGGGCUUAGGAAACGGCACACCAGGAGAUUAUAUCCCGCACAUGGCUCGGAGGGUCCUAUGCCCACGGAGUUUCGCUGAUUGCUAGCACAGCAGCCUGAGAUCAAACUGCAAGGCGGCAGCAAGGCUGGGGGAGGGGCGCCCGCCAUUGCCCAGGCUUGCUUAGGUAAAGCAGCCAGGAAGCUCAAACUGGGUGCAGCCCACCACAACUCAAGGAUGCCUGCCUGCCUCUGUAGGCUCCACCUCUGGGGGCAGGGCACAGACAAACAAAAAGACAGCAGUAAC